GUGGAGUUGUAGUUCUGUGGUAGAGUGCUUGCCUAGUGUGUGUGAGGCACUGGGUUCAAUCCUCAGCACCACA
Molecule: transfer RNA, 73 nt
Filed under: Marmota monax (woodchuck)
Lineage: Eukaryota; Metazoa; Chordata; Mammalia; Rodentia; Sciuridae
Description: tRNA.Thr
Source: RNAcentral